This is a long non-coding RNA of Salvelinus fontinalis (brook trout), 487 nucleotides long. RefSeq lists it as uncharacterized. The record is from RefSeq and is a predicted model, not a curated record. NCBI's taxonomy places the organism in Eukaryota, Metazoa, Chordata, Actinopteri, Salmoniformes, Salmonidae. The transcript has 5 exons.
GCAAGGCAAAUUUAAAUAAAUUACACGAACUCCAGUAGCUAGCGUUACCAGCGCGAGUGUGCAUUUAUCUCCUCCAGAAUGGUAGAAUGGCCAAAGCUGUCGAAAAUGUUGUGGAUUUUUUGGGUUGAAGAACCAUUUUCAUUCUCUGGGGUACACGGAAAAGGUGCGAAUUAAAAGCGAGGGUCGACCUCUGCUUGAGAUCAGUUUCAUGAAGAAGAAAGAAAGAUGGAUCGUAAUGAUGAGAGAAUAAAAAGAGCUUUAAGACGCCGCCCUUAUGUGUUGAAACCAGUGAGGGUGAACAGCCCUGAUUCCGUGUUGUGGCCAACCGGCAAGGUGCACAGAAGGCCAAAGCCUUCUACUUCAGUGCAGACCCCUCAGAUCCACAAAAGGCCUCCAAUCAUUGUGAGCUAUGGGCAGGACCAAACAUCUGGGGAUGGAUGGAGCGUCAAUCCAGAGCCUCUCAGCCAGGUCAGACAUCUCUGCUGUU